AUUGUCCUGCAUGUGACCGCAUAAAUCUGUCUUCUUACGAUGCACUUAGGGCUUAACGAUUAGGCUACUCCAGAGCACCCGUAGAUCUACGAUGAUUUUCAUGUGCUGCUUAAAUUACGAUGCUUUUGGGAAACAGACUGUGAUAUUAAGAUCAGUUGUAUGAUCGUUUUUACGAACUUCUUAGGCUCAAGUUUUUGGGAAACUCAGCCCUGAUUUUUUUCAACAUUCAUUAAAAUAUUAAUAUUUAUUUCGUGCUGAAAAUAUUGAAGAGGAAAAUAUAAUUGAUUCAUGUGCAGUUACUGAACGAAUUAUCUCACUAAAUGAAUCAUAAAAAGCGUAAAAAAAAGACGUUUAUUGUUUGUACAUAGAAGUUUUUUGCAUAUAUGUCCGGAACUGACUUGCUACGACAGACUCCCUGUGAUGUGUGAUCAUAAGGCUUCAGUAGACAUCAACACAAAAGAAGGCUACUAUAUAGUACCGACUUAUUUUAAUAGAUAUAAUACUUGAAAAUGAAAAUGUGUCAAAACAGUUUCAAAAAUGUUCAAAUAGGCAUAUAUAAACGUAUUAAUUAAUUAUCAAUAUAUAGGCUAUUCAUUUGAACAUGUAGAGUAGACUACAAGAAACUGCUGUUGUAAUAAGCAGCUUUAAGACAUAAAAAAAACCUUAACUGUAAAAUAAUAAUCAUCUGCUGAUCAUACAAUUAUUUCGUUUUCAGAAAUGAGGUCUAAUGUAUAGUGAUCGUUUUUUCUUUAGAGACGUGUUGUAUGAACUAUUACCAGUAAGUACAUAUGUGCUCAGAUUAAAAUUAGCCUAUAUUACUAUUGUAUUAUUUUAUUUAAGCUGUAACUGUGAAUACAUUUGGACACUCCAUGUUAGUCACUGAUUAGACUUACAUGAUUUAAAAUUGAUUUUUAGGUGAUAUUGCUUGAAAAGUGAUUUAUAAUGAGCGCUAAAAAAAACUAUGUUAUGCCGUUUAUUUUAUUAUCAUGUGAUGACAUAACCUGAGACUAAAAGCUGUGAUAUACAUUUUGUCCACUAGAGAGAGCCAAAUUAUAUGGACAAGGCCUAUUUGAAAGUGAAAGUCCUGACAUUUACCAAGUAACCGAUCCUCGGAGCUGGUGCUCUGCAUUUAACCCAUCCAAGUGCACACACACAGCAGUGAGAAGUGAACACACACCCGGAGCAGUGGGCAGCUACAGAUCCAGUGCUGGGGAGCAACUGGGGGUUCAGUGCCAGGGUAUUGAGUUCAGUCAUGGGUACUGAGGGUGGAAGAGAGUGCUGUUCAUUCACUCACUCCCACCUACAACUCCUGCCAGCACCGAGACUUGAACCGGAUACCUUCUUGUAAGUAGUCCAAGUCUCUAACCAUUAGGCCACAAACUUGUGCGAACUUCUAUGUCAAAAUCAAAUUCUCCAGUCAAAAACCCUUACAUGAUCUAUCAAUAUCAAACUUUGGCCUCAGAUGACAAAACCUACAGUACAAAUACACACACUACAAUAGUUUAGCUUCCUUAAAUAUAAUAAGUUAUCUUUACUUAGUUGUUAUACUUACUAGGUUUUAUUAAGUUACAAAAUUUGCUAAUUUUAAGGCAAAUAAAACAACAUGCUGCAAUGAGUAAUUCUUCCUUAAAAUAUUCAAGUAGCUACAACAAAACCGAUGACAUUAAUUCACCAGUGAGAGGCAGCAGUGCGCUAAUGUGCAACCGGAACAAAACAACAGAAGAAGAAAUAAGGACGGUGAGCAUGCGCAGCAAGCAAAGUUUUGAAGCUGCAUCGAAUUUGCUGAAACUAAGUAGAAAGACUGUUUACAUUUCACCUCUGGACAAAGAAUGAUUGAUUACUUCUACACAAUAAUAAUAAGGAAAAAAGCUUGUGUCAGCUGUCUUCUCUGAGCAGCGGUCUUGUGAUCACCAGCCUCAGUAUAAUAAAGAUUUGACAGAACUACACACCCAUCUGAUGCCUACCUGUUUUAAUUCAUGAUCCCCCCGGAUACUUCUACAACUAACCCACCUUGGUGUCUGAUGCUGAUGCAGUCUGGGCACUAGUAUCUGUUGGCUUGCUGACUAUCACUGACGAUGAAGUACUUCUCCAAAUCUUGACCCAGUGUCUUCUGCCAUCAUUGUUCAGGGUAGUACUGCAAAGAAUAGUCUCCAGGGUUUGCCUCCAACAUUUGCUUCCCGACCACCAUGUGCUACGCUUGCAUCACUACAUGUGGGUUACCCUGAUACUGUGAAGAGCACCUACAAUAUGAUGCUUGACUUGGGACAGAAAAAAAAACAUUGGCAACUUGUGUGGCCAACUCAUUGCCGUAUUUAAAAUCAUUGUACCGCUACCUCCAUUGUUUAACAUAACUAAAAGCAGAUUGUUUUUGCUUUGUUUCAAAAAUUUUGUAAUACGAGUUAAAAAGUAUAUCAUCUUUAACUUUGAACUGUCACUACAUUUGAUUUAGGGUAAUUAUGUGUGUGAAGAAUAGAACAUUGUUGUCAUGAAUUUGUAAUAGUUUUUUGAAGUAAUUAAGUUACUAGAUUAAUGGUAACUUUUUUUUUAAAGGCAAUUGGUCAACUAGAUUUCUGUUCAAGUAAAUACAACUUAGAAAUUCCAAGUUGCAGGAAAUGUUUCUUGAUUUAGCUAAAUUUAAAUGAGUUGUUUGAAAUACGUACAUAGUAUAAUGUACUUAAUUUAGUUGUUGAAAAUAGUAAUUCUGAGUUACACGUUUACAACACUUAUAAAUAAACCUUUGUUAGUACAAAUUACUAUUCUUAUUUCACUUUACUUGUUUUUUUCAAGGCAAUCGGUUUGCAUGCUUUAUUUUUAAAUAAGGUUUACUCAUUAUAAUUUACAGUGCAGACAACCUCCCUGCCCAGUGCACACUAGUGAGAUAAAGUCAAAACACUGUAAUUGUAAUAAAGUACUGUAACUAUACUGUACUACACUGUGUGAUUCUUUCAGCUCUCUCUCCAGUGCUAGGAUGCAUUUUUAAAGCAGUCACCUGUGCUCCUGUUCAUAAUUUCCUGAGAUGCUACUGAAUGCUUGCUUAUGGAUAAUUGUGUGUUAUUUGAGUUCACACUGUGACAAUAGAGUUAACUAUUUGAUGUGUUUGUGUUUUAUGAAUGAGACUUUGGAGAAAUCAUUAAAAAAAAUUUAAUGUGUGUAUAUAUGAAUUUUAUAUGAAUAUUAUAGAAUUUUAUAAUUUCUAAACUACAAAAUUAUUAAAACAUUACAUGAUUGAAAUGUUUACUCAUGGCCCAUGGUCCAUUGUUAAUUUCAAAUUUGGCCUUUGGAUUUAACUAUUAAUGCAUUAAGCCAUUUUUCAAUUUAUGUUUUCUGGUGGACAAAACACUUAAACCUAUACAAAUGUUGUCUUUUUGGUUUAUACUGUCCUUAUCUUGGUGCCAUUAGUUAUAUAUGAUGCUUACAAGAAAGCUGUGAAUUGGUUGUUCCUGGUUGUUGUUUUACAUGUGCACUUCUAAAUAACAUUGUAAGUUCAUUGAUUAGAUAUACUGCAGUGUAAAUAAAAUUUUACUCAUCAUAUUUUC
Molecule: long non-coding RNA, 3536 nt
Organism: Carassius gibelio (silver crucian carp)
Lineage: Eukaryota; Metazoa; Chordata; Actinopteri; Cypriniformes; Cyprinidae
Exons: 4
Source: RefSeq, a predicted model, not a curated record